Molecule: long non-coding RNA, 496 nt
Organism: Canis lupus familiaris (dog)
Lineage: Eukaryota; Metazoa; Chordata; Mammalia; Carnivora; Canidae
Exons: 4
Source: RefSeq, a predicted model, not a curated record
UCCCCGCCUCCCCCCUGCGCCCGCGCGCGGGGACUUACCACCACGAGGCGCCGACCCCGGGGGCGAGCCAGGCCAGGAGCAGAGGGAGCCAGAGCCAGGUUCCACCGACAGGGGCGUUCAUAGUAACCCCGCUGCGUCCGCAUCAGCGGCGGCCACCACUGACUGCCACUCCGCUCUGCCCAGUCUCUUGCGGUAAAUGCAGACACCCGGGACUCGUGGAAGAAAUGAGCGGCCCCAGAGGAGCCCCAAGUUCCAGGUGUUCAACAUAGUGAUUCAACAAUUCUACACGUUACUCAGUGCUCAUCAAGAAUUCCAAAUUGGAUCUAUCUCUGAAGAUGGCAUUAUUCUGAGUCCGUCUUAGGAACAAUCUGUUUUGGGGCACCUGGUGGCUCAGCAGUGGAGCGUCUGCCCUUGGCUCAGGACGUGACCCCGGGGUCCCGGGAUCGAGUCCCAUGUCGGGCUCCCUGCAUGGAGCCUGCUUCUCCCUCUGCCUGUG